RNAcentral lists this ribosomal RNA (611 nucleotides) under Salmonella enterica. Its description in RNAcentral is "partial 23S ribosomal RNA". It matches the Rfam family "Bacterial large subunit ribosomal RNA", at positions 1 to 642 of the family's 2925-position model. RNAcentral also lists the same sequence under 1 other name. Lineage: Bacteria; Pseudomonadati; Pseudomonadota; Gammaproteobacteria; Enterobacterales; Enterobacteriaceae. The record is from RNAcentral.
GGGUUGUGAGGUUAAGCGACUAAGCGUACACGGUGGAUGCCCUGGCAGUCAGAGGCGAUGAAGGGCGUGCUAAUCUGCGAUAAGCGCCGGUAAGGUGAUAUGAACCGUUAUAACCGGCGAUACCCGAAUGGGGAAACCCAGUGUGAUUCGUCACACUAUCAUUAACUGAAUCCAUAGGUUAAUGAGGCGAACCGGGGGAACUGAAACAUCUAAGUACCCCGAGGAAAAGAAAUCAACCGAGAUUCCCCCAGUAGCGGCGAGCGAACGGGGAGGAGCCCAGAGCCUGAAUCAGCAUGUGUGUUAGUGGAAGCGUCUGGAAAGGCGCGCGAUACAGGGUGACAGCCCCGUACACAAAAGCGCAUGUGCUGUGAGCUCGAUGAGUAGGGCGGGACACGUGGUAUCCUGUCUGAAUAUGGGGGGACCAUCCUCCAAGGCUAAAUACUCCUGACUGACCGAUAGUGAACCAGUACCGUGAGGGAAAGGCGAAAAGAACCCCGGCGAGGGGAGUGAAAAAGAACCUGAAACCGUGUACGUACAAGCAGUGGGAGCACCCUUUGGGGUGUGACUGCGUACCUUUUGUAUAAUGGGUCAGCGACUUAUAUUCUGUAGCA